CAGCAGCCACGGUAAUACGAAGGGGGCUAGCGUUGUUCGGAUUUACUGGGCGUAAAGCGCACGUAGGCGGAUCGAUCAGUCAGGGGUGAAAUCCCAGAGCUCAACUCUGGAACUGCCUUUGAUACUGUCGAUCUGGAGUAUGGAAGAGGUGAGUGGAAUUCCGAGUGUAGAGGUGAAAUUCGUAGAUAUUCGGAGGAACACCAGUGGCGAAGGCGGCUCACUGGUCCAUUACUGACGCUGAGGUGCGAAAGCGUGGGGAGCAAACAGGAUUAGAUACCCCCGUAGUCCCUGUCUCUUAUAC
RNAcentral lists this ribosomal RNA (301 nucleotides) under uncultured bacterium. Its description in RNAcentral is "partial 16S ribosomal RNA". It matches the Rfam family "Bacterial small subunit ribosomal RNA", at positions 509 to 807 of the family's 1533-position model. The record is from RNAcentral.